This 1350-nucleotide ribosomal RNA is filed under the name Liquorilactobacillus mali. RNAcentral's name for it is "Lactobacillus mali partial 16S ribosomal RNA". It matches the Rfam family "Bacterial small subunit ribosomal RNA", at positions 148 to 1477 of the family's 1533-position model. Lineage: Bacteria; Bacillati; Bacillota; Bacilli; Lactobacillales; Lactobacillaceae. The record is from RNAcentral.
CUUUGGAAACGGGGGUUUAACCCCCAAAAAAAAAAAAACCCCCUUGGUUUUUUAUUAAAAGGUGUUUUGCCUAACAAUUUGGGGGAGGCCCCGGGGGUUUUUAGGGGGGGGUGGAAGGAAAAGGCCUCCCCCAGGCCAUUUUUACGUCCCCCAAAUGGGGGGGUUUUUUCGCCCCCUUGGGGAUUGGGCCCCGGCCCAAAUUUCUUGGGGGGGGCAGCGGUGGGGAUUUUUCCCCCAAGGGAAGAAAUUUUGAAGGAACAACCCCCGCUUGAAUGAAAAAGGUUUUCGGAUCGAAAAAUUCUGUUGUUAAAGAAGAACGUUUUUGAGAGUAACUGUUCAGGCAGUGACGGUAUCUAACCAGAAAGCCACGGCUAACUACGUGCCAGCAGCCGCGGUAAUACGUAGGUGGCAAGCGUUGUCCGGAUUUAUUGGGCGUAAAGGGAACGCAGGCGGUUUUUUAAGUCUGAUGUGAAAGCCUUCGGCUUAACCGAAGUCAUGCAUUGGAAACUGAAAGACUUGAGUGCAGAAGAGGAGAGUGGAACUCCAUGUGUAGCGGUGAAAUGCGUAGAUAUAUGGAAGAACACCAGUGGCGAAAGCGGCUCUCUGGUCUGUAACUGACGCUGAGGUUCGAAAGUGUGGGUAGCAAACAGGAUUAGAUACCCUGGUAGUCCACACCGUAAACGAUGAAUGCUAAGUGUUGGAGGGUUUCCGCCCUUCGGUGCUGCAGCUAACGCAUUAAGCAUUCCGCCUGGGGAGUACGACCGCAAGGUUGAAACUCAAAGGAAUUGACGGGGGCCCGCACAAGCGGUGGAGCAUGUGGUUUAAUUCGAAGCAACGCGAAGAACCUUACCAGGUCUUGACAUCUUCUGACAGCCUAAGAGAUUAGGUGUUCCCUUCGGGGACAGAAUGACAGGUGGUGCAUGGUUGUCGUCAGCUCGUGUCGUGAGAUGUUGGGUUAAGUCCCGCAACGAGCGCAACCCUUAUUAUUAGUUGCCAGCAUUAAGUUGGGCACUCUAGUGAGACUGCCGGUGACAAACCGGAGGAAGGUGGGGAUGACGUCAAAUCAUCAUGCCCCUUAUGACCUGGGCUACACACGUGCUACAAUGGACGGUACAACGAGUCGCGAAACCGCGAGGUUUAGCUAAUCUCUUAAAGCCGUUCUCAGUUCGGAUUGUAGGCUGCAACUCGCCUACAUGAAGUCGGAAUCGCUAGUAAUCGCGGAUCAGCAUGCCGCGGUGAAUACGUUCCCGGGCCUUGUACACACCGCCCGUCACACCAUGAGAGUUUGUAACACCCAAAGCCGGUGAGGUAACCUUUAUGAGGCCAGCCGUCUAAGUGAACAGAUGUGGA